AAGAGACAGCAGUCGCCGCGGGAAUACGAAGGGUGCAAGCGUUACUCGGAAUUACUGGGCGUAAAGCGUGCGUAGGUGGUGGUUUAAGUCCGUUGUGAAAGCCCUGGGCUCAACCUGGGAAUUGCAGUGGAUACUGGGUCACUAGAGUGUGGUAGAGGAUAGUGGAAUUUCCGGUGUAGCAGUGAAAUGCGUAGAGAUCGGAAGGAACAUCUGUGGCGAAGGCGACUAUCUGGGCCAACACUGACACUGAGGCACGAAAGCGUGGGGAGCAAACAGGAUUAGAUACCCGGGUAGUCCCUGUCUCUUAUAC
Molecule: ribosomal RNA, 310 nt
Filed under: uncultured bacterium
Lineage: Bacteria
Description: partial 16S ribosomal RNA
Rfam family: Bacterial small subunit ribosomal RNA
Source: RNAcentral